Molecule: ribosomal RNA, 200 nt
Filed under: uncultured bacterium
Lineage: Bacteria
Description: partial 16S ribosomal RNA
Rfam family: Bacterial small subunit ribosomal RNA
Source: RNAcentral
AGAGUUUGAUCAUGGCUCAGGAUAAACGCUGGCGGCGUGCCUAACACAUGCAAGUCGAACGCCCUGCGUAAGCAGGGAGUGGCGGACGGGUGAGGAACACGUGGGUACCUACCUCUAGUUUGGAAUACCGGCGAGAAAUCGCCGACAAUACCGCAUACGCUCGGGCAACCGAGGAAAGCUCGCAAGAGCGCUGGAGGAUG